GCUCGUAGUUGGAUAUGUGCUCUUGACUUUGUCCACCUUCGGGUGCGUACGGAGUGCUCGGGCUUGCUACCGGUUUAACGUCGUAGGCUUUAGUGUUUGCGGCGGGUAGUUGGUGAUUUUACUUUGAAUAAAUCAGAGUGCUUCACACAGGCGAUACGCUUGAAUGUUUUUGCAUGGAAUAAUAGAAGAGGAUUUUGAUUUGAUUUUAUUGGUUUUAAAGAUCGAGAUAAUGGUUAACAGAGACUGACGGGGGCAUUCGUAUCGCUGCGUGAGAGGUGAAAUUCUUGGACCGUAGCGCGACGUACAACAGCGAAAGCAUUUGCCAAGAAAGUUUUCAUUAAUCAAGAACGAAAGUCAGAGGUUCGAAGGCGAUCAGAUACCGCCCUAGUUCUGACCGUAAACGAUGCCAACUAGUGAUCCGCCGGUGGUUAAAUAGCCUUGGUGGGGAGCUUCCCGGAAACGAAAGUCUUCCGGUUCCGGGGGAAGUAUGGUUGCAAAGCUGAAACUUAAAGGAAUUGACGGAAGGGCACCACCAGGAGUGGAGCCUGCGGCUUAAUUUGACUCAACACGGGAAAACUCACUCGGUUAGAACAGCAUAAGGAUUGACAGAUUGAUAGCUUUUUCAUGAUUUGGUGGAUGGUGGUGCAUGGCCGUUCUUAGUUCGUGGAGUGAUUUGUCUGGUUUAUUCCGAUAACGAGCGAGACUAUAGCCUAUUAGCUCGUGAGCACAUAAUUACAGUGUGCUGUGACUUCAUAAAGGGAUUUUCGGUGUACAGCCGCAUGAAAUUUAGCAAUAACAGGUCUGUGAUGCCCUUAGAUAUCCGAGGCUGCACGCGCGCUACACUGUCAAAAUCAGCGUGCUUUUCCUAUCUCGAAAGGGGUCGGUAAACCCUUGAAAAUUUGCCGUGAUUGGGAUUGAAAAUUGCAAUUAUUUUUCGUGAACGAGGAAUUCCAAGUAAGUGCGAGUCAUUAGCUCGCGUUGAUUACGUCCCUGCCCUUUGUACACACCGCCCGUCGCUGCCCGGGACUGAGCCAUUUCGAGAAACUUGGGGAUUGUUGAUUGUUGGUGCUUCGGCAUCGCCUUUCGGUGAGAACCAAUUUAAUCGCAGUGGCUUGAACCGGGC
RNAcentral lists this ribosomal RNA (1123 nucleotides) under Paurodontella gilanica. Its description in RNAcentral is "bacterial SSU rRNA". It matches the Rfam family "Eukaryotic small subunit ribosomal RNA", at positions 626 to 1783 of the family's 1831-position model. The record is from RNAcentral. Lineage: Eukaryota; Metazoa; Nematoda; Chromadorea; Rhabditida; Sphaerulariidae.